RNAcentral lists this ribosomal RNA (403 nucleotides) under uncultured bacterium. RNAcentral's name for it is "partial 16S ribosomal RNA". It matches the Rfam family "Bacterial small subunit ribosomal RNA", at positions 28 to 526 of the family's 1533-position model. The record is from RNAcentral.
GACGAACGCUGGCGGCGUGCCUAAUACAUGCAAGUCGAACGCAGUGGGGACGGGUGAGUAACACGUGGGUAACCUCCCAUCAGAGGGGAUAACACUUGGAAACAGGUGCUAACCCGAUACGGAUGGAGGAACUCGCGGUGCAUUAGCUCGUUGGAGGGGUAACGGCUCACCAAGGCAACGAUGCAUAGCUGACCUGAGAGGGUGAUCGGCCACACUGGAACUGAGACACGGCCCAGACUCCUACGGGAGGCAGCAGUGGGGAAUAUUGGGCAAUGGACGAAAGCCUGACCGAGCCACGCCGCGUGAGUGAAGAUGGUUUUCGGAUUGUAAAGCUCUUUUGUUAGAGAAGCGGUAUCUACCCAGAAAGCCACGGCUAACUACGUGCCAGCAGCCGCGGUAAUAC